UACGUAGGGGGCAAGCGUUGUCCGGAAUCAUUGGGCGUAAAGAGCGUGUAGGCGGCUCGGUAAGUCCGCUCUGAAAGCCCGGGGCUCAACCCCGGGAGGCGGGCGGAUACUGUCGGGCUAGAGUCCGGAAGAGGCGAGUGGAAUUCCUGGUGUAGCGGUGGAAUGCGUAGAGAUCCGGAGGAAUACCGACGGCGUAAGCAGCGCCCUAAACGAGUACUGACGCUCAGGCACGAAAGCUGGGGGAGCAAACAGG
RNAcentral lists this ribosomal RNA (253 nucleotides) under uncultured bacterium. RNAcentral's name for it is "partial 16S ribosomal RNA". It matches the Rfam family "Bacterial small subunit ribosomal RNA", at positions 524 to 776 of the family's 1533-position model. The record is from RNAcentral.